This 253-nucleotide ribosomal RNA is filed under the name uncultured bacterium. RNAcentral's name for it is "partial 16S ribosomal RNA". It matches the Rfam family "Bacterial small subunit ribosomal RNA", at positions 524 to 776 of the family's 1533-position model. The record is from RNAcentral.
UACGUAGGUGGCAAGCGUUACUCGGAAUCACUAGGCGUAAAGCGCAGGUAGGAGGUUUGGUAAGUCUAUUGUGAAAGCUCCCGGCUUAACUGGGAGAGGUCAAUGGAAACUACCAGGCUGGAGUGCGGUAGAGGUAGCUGGAAUUCCCGGUGUAGCGGUGAAAUGCGUAGAUAUCGGGAGGAAUACCUAUGGCGAAAGCAGGCUACUGGACCAUCACUGACGCUGAUCUGCGAAAGCUAGGGUAGCAAACGGG